CCAUGGAAGGGGAGCAAGCGUGAGCUGGCACUCAACACCCCCUUCUCCACAUGGAGGGUGGUCACAUGUUCUCCACCUGUUCCCCUAGAUGGUGAGACUUCUGUUGGGCUCACUUUUCCUGGGCCAGUGUCCAUCGGCCAGGUGCUCAGCCUUCGGUGCGGUGAAGCUCCAGCCCUUCCUGGUGCCCUGGUCUCCUGCACUGAGCUGUGGUGAGCACAUCCAGGUUCCACUGGAUGCAUGUGCGGGAAGGGGGGUGCCCUGGGUUGCGUCAAUGAUGAGAACCGUAUAUUGUCCUAAAGAGAGGUGAUGACUUAAAAAUCAUGCUCAAUAGGAUUACGCUGUGGCCCAGCCUAGGGGAGAAUUUUGGAAAAGGAUGCUGGGAUCCCAAUUUCCCCAACAGGGCCACUGUAUUUUGUACCUGAGACCUGGAGGCUCUGAAGGGCAUCUGGAGGUGGCCCAACCUGUCUCUGCACUCUAGGUUCCCUGUGUGGGCUAGGUGUCGGUGCUCCGGUUCCCUGGGGGCAGGGAAUGUUGGUGGCUCCUUCCUGAGUCCCUGUUCUUGCCUUUGUCUUUCAGUGAGCUCUUUCACCUAGGAGGGCUGCUUGGCAUUGACUGGCAUAGAUGGUGACCCUGAAGAAAGACUUGAGUUGAGCCCGAAGGCCCCGGGCCAGUGUCCAUCAUCCAGGUGCUCAGCUCCCAGUGCACUGAAGCUCGGACCCUUCUUGGUUCCCUGGUCUCUUGCACUGAGCUCUGAUGGUGAGACUUGAGGAAGACUUCCAUUGGGCCUGCUUUUCCUGAGCCACUGUCUGUCAGCCAGGUUCCCAGCCCCCAAUGCGCUGAAGCUCAGGCCUUUCCUGGCACCCUGGUCUCCUGCACUGAGCUGUGUGAGCUCUUCUGCCCAGGCAGGCCCCCUGGAAAUGACAGGCAUAGAUGGUGACCCCGGAGGAAAAUUUGUGUUGGGCCCACUAUCCCUGGGCCAAUGUCAGUCAGCUAGGUGCCCAGCCCCCAGUGCACUGAAGCUCAGGACCUUCCUGGUGCCCUCGGCUCCUGCACUGAGCUCUGAUGAUAAGCCUGGAGGAAGUCUUGUGUUGGGCCCACAGGCCCCAGGCCAAUGUCUGUCAGCCAGGUGCUCAGCCCCUGGUGCGCUGAAACUCUGACCCUUCCUGGCACCCUGGUCUCCUGCACUGAGCUGUGAUCUUCCAUCCAGGAGGUCCCCCUGGCAUUGACUGACAUAGAUGGUGAGACUUCUGUUGGGCUCGCUUUUCCUGGGCCAGUGUCCAUCAGCCAGGUGUUCAGCCCUUGGUGCACUGAAGCUCCAGCCCUUCCUGGUGCCCUGGUCUCCUGCACUGAGCUGUGUGAGCUCUUCUGCCAAGGGGGUCCUCUUGGCAUUGACCAGCAUAGAUGGUGAGCCUGGAGGAAGACUUGCAUUGGGCCCAAUGGCCCUGGGCCAGUGUCUGUCAGCCAGUUCCCAGCCCCCGAUGCGCUGAAGCUCAGGCCUUUCCUGGCACCCUGGUCUCCUGCACUGAGCUGUGUGAGCUCUUCUGCCAAAGCGGUACCCACCCCCUGCCCCCAGCCUUAAGCGGCAUAGAUGGUGAGCCUGGAGGAAGACUUGUGUUGGGCCCACAGACCCCAGGCCAGUGUACGUCAACCAGGUGCUCAGCCCACGGUGUGCUGAAGCUCUGACCCUUCCUGACGCCCUGGUCUCCUGCACUGAGCUGUGGUGACCAUAUCCAGUGAGCUCUUCCAAACAGGUGGGCUCCCUGGCAUUGACCAACAUUGAGCUCUGACACCCAGGACAUCCCCCUGGCAUUGACUGGCAUAGGAGCACGCAUUUCCUGAAGCCCUGCAGAGGUGAUGGUGGUCCAGGCAGGAAAGGGUUCCUUCAGCCCAACAUAGAGCAGCUCCCAGCUGUAACUCGGUAGGCUGGUCAGGCCUCGAGGACUGCCCAGGCCACAUGAGGGUUUGGUGGCCCGGGAGGGCCAAUGAUGCUCUGCGUCCGUGUUGGGUCAGUGUUCUUCAUGGAUUCCAUCACAUUGGUAUCCCCUACCCACCUCCUGUGCGCUGAUACGUGAGGCCCUGGUUGGACACAUGUCCUUCUCCUGUCACCCCAGAUGGUGAGCCUGGAGGAAGACUUGUGUUGGGCCCCCACAGGCCCCAGGCCAGUGUCCGUCAGCCUGGUGCUCAUCCCCCGGUGUGCUGAAGCUCAGAUCCUCCCUGGCACCCUGGUCUCCUGCACUGAGCUGUGUGAGCUUUUCCUCCCAGGUGGGCCCCCUGGCCUUGACUGGCAUAGAUAGUGAGACUGGAGGAAGACUUGCAUUGGGCCUGCUGUUCCUGGGCCAGUGGCCAUCAGCCUGUUGCCCAGCCCCUAAUGUGCUGAAGCUCAGGCCCUUCCUCAUGCCCUGGUCUCCUGCACUGAGCUGUGGAUGGUGAGCCUGGAGGAAGACUUGUGUUGGGCCCCCACGGCCCCAGGCCAGUGUCCAUCAGCCUGGUGCUUAUCCCCCGGUGCGCUGGAGUUUGGACCUUCCUGGCACCCUGGUCUCCUGCACUGAGCUUGAGCUCUUCCACCCAGGCGGGCCCCCUGGCAUUGACUGGCAUAGAUGGUGAGCCUGGAGGAGGACUUGCAUUUGGCCCACUGGUCCAUGAUGAUAUGGAAGAAGAGCACUCUUUGGCCUGUUGCAACUGGGACAGUUGACAGCACCCAGGUGUCCUGUAAUGGAAAUGCUCUUGACACCAAUGCAUCCUAGCAUCAGAGCUUCAGGAAGCCUUCUCAAGUGUGCAUGGGGAGUACCAUGUCUUUCAUCAAUAAUGAAACCUUCUAAUGUCUUGUAAGACAUGCUGCCAAGAGAUGUGCCAUUCUGUUAUAAAAGAUCAGUGGCUUCCUUUACCGACGUGUAUAUUCUAUCUAGAACAUUGAGCUAUGGAAGACUCCCACUUAAGGGAAUUAGUUUUACACCUUCAGAUAAAGACUGCUGAGAAGAGCAACCUCUGGUGUUGCCACAGAGGCAAGUGCUACCACACAGGCAUGCUGCAGUGAAUUUAACUGAUCCUCUGUCCCUGCAACCGUUGUUUAAGGAUGCUAUUCUGAAAAGACUGUGGAGGAAGAAAACCCUUUACCCUGUUGUUCAGGGAGAAACUGACACCACUCAACUGCCUGGCACUGAAAAUGUGGCAUCCAGUCCACUUUACCACCAGUGUUUAAGGAAACCAUCUCUGAUAAGGAUGAUUGAGGAAGAGUACUCUUUGGCUUGUUGACACCAGCACAGCUGACACACCCAGAUAUCUGUUUGGUCUCCUGUGAACUCUCAACCAGAAUUUAAGGAUGCCACUCUGGUUAAAAGCUGAAACAACUUCAAGGAAACUUCAGGGAAAAGAGAAGGCCUGGAAUCUGAUCCUCCACUUCAGAGAACAGGGGCUGGAAUGCAGUGGCACGAUCUCGGCUCACUGCAACCUCUGCCUCCCGGGUUCAAACGAUUCUCCUACCUCAGCCUCCCAAGUAGCUGGGACUACAGGUGCACGCCACCACACCUGGCUAAUUUUUUUGUAUUUUUAGUAGAGAGGGGGUUUCACCAUGUUGGCCAGGCUGGUCUUGAUCUCUUGACGUCGUGAUUCGCCCGCCUCAGCCUCCCAAAGUGCUGGGAUUACAGGUGUGAGCCACUGUGCCUGGCCUGUAGUGUUUAAUAUGUUAAACUGAAUUUUUCAGGUAUAUAGAUAAAAAUUAGUCAAAAAACACUGUAAUUAGAUAUGAACAUUCAUAAAGUUUGGUUUAUUGAUAGAGGUGUUCUACUGAGAAAGACAUUUUUGUAAGAUUUCUUGUGAUAAAUGUGUCCCUGAAAAUACUCAAUCUUUUAAACUUUGCACUUAAAAACCUCCUAUGCAAAAACCGUUUGGUGCAGACUACUUAAUACUUAUGCAACUUUGUAAUUAGUGUUAACAAACGUAAUUAAUAAUCAAAAUAAGAGUACUACUGUACAGAAAGCAUCUCUAAUUUCUAAUAUACGAUGGUAACUGUAGAACACUGCAAAAACAAAAACAAAAAAACCAGUAAAGAACAGGGAACAGUAACAGUAGCAUAUUAGAAAACAGGGAUAAGGAAAGGUCACAACUGCUAUAAUGCAGACUUGAGCAAAAAAGAGGAGGGGGCAUAAAGACUGGAUAAAGCCACACAAUAAGCACCUCUAAGAUGGAGCACACGGCCAAAAGAGCAGAUGAGUACAUUCCUCAUGUACCACAUCCCCCGCAGCUGGCUGCAUUCCACUGUGCCAGCACUCUACAUUCGGUUACUGGUACUCUCUGGUGCAUACUUACUGGAGAACUGUGUACAAUAAAGUCAAUGCAGCUUCCACAUUAUACUGACACACUAUAUAUAUAGACAACAUCUACCUAUUUUCCCAUAGUGUGUAAGCUAAUUCAUGAAACAGAACUAUACACUCUGAAGCACCAAAGUUGUGUAAAGUGACAAAAAUAAUUUUAUUGUGGAAACAGAGUAGAGGUUAUAACACAAUGCCACUUCACUAAUUCUUUCAAACUUGAUUCAAAUGAUGUUAGUGAAAGUUUUUGAGGCAAAUGCCUCUAAAAUUCUCUGACUUGUAUGUCAUAAACAAAAAGCUUUCUCUAUUAAAAUACAAUUGCCUCUGGGUGUGUGUGGGGGUGAGGGUGGAGGGGCGCUAAGCCCUGGUAGUCAUUCAAAAAUUUGAUUACUUUGUUACUAAUUACCUUCACUGAGGAAAAUAACUUGAAGUUUUAGUAUUAGCGACAAGGUUAUUGAAUUCUGAAUUUUGGACAUAGGACCAUUUAGAAAACAAAAGACCUGAGUGAAGACUGUCAUUGGUAGGUCAUGAUCCUUGGCAGCAUGACUGUACCAAAUGUCCGGGAGGAGAGUGAGAAGCAUAUAUUUGAAGGAAAUGUAGAAUUCUCGCGUAACUAUCACAAAAUUUUGUCUUGCCUUCAAAAAUGGAAAAAACCCACUGUUUCCUCUUUCUGCUUCUUUCAUCACAUCAUCCCGAGGUUCCAGAACUCAUGCCAGAUAUUUAAUCCAGUUAUUCUAUAACUUAAAUAGAUGUUGUGGCCUAGUUUUGGAGAUCAACUACCACUUAAUACAUUUUUCCUAAGAAUUUUAAAAAGUUCAAAUCAAUCUAUUAACAAAUGAACUUUUAGCAUAUGAUCUGCUUCUAAUUAGCAAUGAUUAGACCUGUAAAAUGUAGUUAUUAUUCCUGUCCGUUACCACAAUAAAAAAUUGGUUCUACGAUAUCAAAAUGUCUUCAUGUCACAUAAGAAAAAACAAAUAAAAACUCAUACAUUUAAAUCUCCCACAUGGUUUUCAGCCAACAAUUCUCAAUUGAAAAUAAAACAUCUUACCUUUAAAAUCAA
RNAcentral lists this antisense RNA (5367 nucleotides) under Pongo abelii (Sumatran orangutan). The stretch from base 266 to 347 matches the Rfam family "Small nucleolar RNA SNORD115". The record is from RNAcentral. Lineage: Eukaryota; Metazoa; Chordata; Mammalia; Primates; Hominidae.